This 227-nucleotide long non-coding RNA is filed under the name Salvia miltiorrhiza (redroot sage). RNAcentral's name for it is "long non-coding RNA (SMIL_LNC003037)". Lineage: Eukaryota; Viridiplantae; Streptophyta; Magnoliopsida; Lamiales; Lamiaceae. The record is from RNAcentral.
GGAUGAAGACUUAGAAGUUUAAGACCCCCAAAAGAAAUCUUCCUGAAUAAAUGCCUACUGAUAUAUAGGGUUGGGUGUAAAAGAUUCCAACAAAUAUCUAGAGAACUAUGCAAUAAAAUAUUCAAUAUCUCUUAAUAAUUAAAGUUUGAAAUGAAUAGUUUAAAUUCAGGGCACACAGAAACAAGGGGCUGGUGUGGUUUCGGGGAGCCUUCUUGCAAGGAACAAAU